Molecule: ribosomal RNA, 657 nt
Filed under: Triticum aestivum (bread wheat)
Lineage: Eukaryota; Viridiplantae; Streptophyta; Magnoliopsida; Poales; Poaceae
Description: partial small subunit ribosomal RNA
Source: RNAcentral
AUGAUGUAUAAGAGAGGGUUUAGUACUAACUGGAUGAGGAAAGUUAAAUCUCUCUUAUACAAAGGUUCUGUUGGGGUCACUAUCAAUAAUAGGAAUAGUGAUUUUUUUAUUGCGGGCAAAGGAGUGAGGCAAGGGGACCCCUAUUCCCCUUCGCUUUUCAACCUAGUAGCUGAUGUUUUUACAAAAAUUCUUAUUAAAGCCUCCAGAAAUAAUAUCCUGGAAGGCCUCUUCCCUAGUUCCAAUCCUGCUGGCAUCAUUAGUAUGCAAUAUGCGGAUGACACAUUACUUUUCCUCAGCAAUAAUAAAUCCCAUGCGAAAAACCUUAAGUGGUUACUUUCCUGCUUUGAACAUCUAUCUGGCAUGCGGAUUAAUUUUCAUAAAUGUGACCUGGUUCCCAUUAAUAUCAAUGAGGAUGAUGCCAAUAUCUUUGCACAAAUACUUGGUUGCAAAUUGAGUGAGUUCCCUAUUAAAUAUUUAGGUGCUCCUCUUCAUCACAGGAAGCUUAAGAAAAGUGAGCUUCAACCUACUGUUGAUAAGAUUAUCAAGAGAGGGGCUGGAUGGAGGGCGAGACUUCUGUCUUCGGGCAAAAGACUCACAUUAGUGAAAACUUGCUUAUCCACUAUCCCUAGUUAUCUUAUGGGGAUUAUUAAAUUCUGA